This 431-nucleotide ribosomal RNA is filed under the name uncultured bacterium. RNAcentral describes it as "partial 16S ribosomal RNA". It matches the Rfam family "Bacterial small subunit ribosomal RNA", at positions 29 to 507 of the family's 1533-position model. The record is from RNAcentral.
AACGAACGCUGGCGGCAGGCUUAACACAUGCAAGUCGAACGCCCCGCAAGGGGAGUGGCAGACGGGUGAGUAACGCGUGGGAAUCUACCCAUCCCUACGGAAUAACGCAUGGAAACGUGUGCUAAUACCGUAUACGCCCUACGGGGGAAAGAUUUAUCGGGGAUGGAUGAGCCCGCGUUGGAUUAGCUAGUUGGUGGGGUAAAGGCCUACCAAGGCGACGAUCCAUAGCUGGUCUGAGAGGAUGAUCAGCCACAUUGGGACUGAGACACGGCCCAAACUCCUACGGGAGGCAGCAGUGGGGAAUAUUGGACAAUGGGCGCAAGCCUGAUCCAGCCAUGCCGCGUGAGUGAUGAAGGCCUUAGGGUUGUAAAGCUCUUUCACCGGAGAAGAUAAUGACGGUAUCCGGAGAAGAGGCCCCGGCUAACUUCGUG